This is a long non-coding RNA of Zootoca vivipara (common lizard), 911 nucleotides long. RefSeq lists it as uncharacterized. The record is from RefSeq and is a predicted model, not a curated record. Lineage: Eukaryota; Metazoa; Chordata; Lepidosauria; Squamata; Lacertidae.
CUCCUCCUCCUCCCCACUUUGUGAAGGACCAUCACCCUUCCGCCGUAGAUCUGCUCGGAUCUUUUCAAAAGGGCUGUUUUUGCUUCAUUUUCUAGAUUCUCCGACUCUUCCGUCCCCUGCCUCCAAACUUCCUGACACUGUCCAGUACGGAAGAUAAAUAAAAUCCGAGAGAAAAAGAAAAGUUGGUGGUGCCCAUUGUAUCAGGACUUUGGGGCGGAGGAUCAAGUACCCACUCAGCAGGAAGGUCCCCAAUGCAACAGGGCUGGCUUACCACACACUGAAAACCAAAGAUGGCAUACAUGCAGUUCCAAGGAGUUGUAGGAGCGGAGGUGCUAAAAGAACAGAAGAAUUUGUUUAUGUACCGGUCGGUAUGCUACGGCCGCCACCUGUUAGCUCAAAGAUGGAAAAAAGAAACCAUCCUGACCAAAGAAGAUCGGCAAAAUAAAUAACGGUAAUGAAAUAUGCUGAAAUGGCGAAAUUAACUGUAAAGCUCAGAGACCAAGACGAUAAGAAUUUUAGAAAGGAUUGGGAAAUGUUUAUUGUAUAUAUUCAAAAGUAUUGUAAACAUGUUAAAACACUGGCAGGAUUUUAAGAACACUUGUAAUUUUAGAGAUACUAUAGGACAAAUUUGAUGGAAUUUUUUUUUUAGUACUAAUGAUAUGCAGUUGGAAAGGAAAAUUAAGGAACCAGAGGAGGGAGUGGAGGGAAGUCACGGGAUUCAGGGAAUCCUUAAUUUUAGAUUUGAAAUUGGUUUUACUUAGAAUUGUGUGUGUGUGUGUUUGAUAAUACUGUUUUUGAUAUGAUUUUUAUUUUAUUUUUGCAUAGUUUGUUAAAAUUUAAUAAUAAUAAUAAUAAUAAUAAUAAAAGAAUAAAAAUGGAAAUCUAUAUUUUGUGAGAAAAUACUAUUUAUA